GUAUGGGGUGGUGGGGGUGGAAAAAUUUUAGAAUGCAACGGGAAUAUUGAUGACGUGGCAUAACAAAUCAAUUAAAAAAAAAAUUUUAGAAAUAUAUAUCCCAUCGUGAGUAGAAAAAAAUAUUUUUAUUAUAUUUUUAUUUGAAAAGAAGAAAGGUGAUUGUAUUGUUAUUGAUGACGUGGUGCAAGAUAGUGUAGAAUUCCGCGGGAGCGGGCGCGCACGUGAUGUGGAGGGACGGAACGAGGACGUCGCUCUCAGCGCCCGUGCGACCACACGACGCGCACGAUUCCGACGUUGCGGUAACCUCACCGGCGCGUGCUCUCCUCGCGCUUAUCCACCAAUGCGACGGUGACUCCACGCAUCUCCCGCUUCUUCUAGCAGCAAGAUAUUAUUCCAUGCUCCCGUCCCAUCUGUAUAUAGAUACACCAAUAAAUUGAUGUUUUGGAUUGGUCCCUUGUGAUUCACCAAUUCUAUUCGUGAUUAUUAAAAAAUUUAUUUAUACUUAUAAUUCAUGUGGGUGUCUCCUAUUAACCCAGUUAUGAGAGUGUAUACCAACAUAGUUGUAGAGAUAAUUCACACCAUUUAGGUCUUAUUUUGAUUAUUCACUUAGUUAUCGACACAGUAACUUAUUCAGUCAACCUACCGUAGUUGGCUUAUUUCGAUUGGUAUAUUUCUAGAUACUAUAUUCGCUUUUAUGUCAUUUUAUUGAUAAGAUAAAUUAUCUUUUGUAGGUGAAAUAUGCUGUACUACUAAACUAUGAAUUUCAAAGUCUCUCAAAAAGUAAAAAUCAAAUCCUUUUCUUUCAAUCACACUAGAAAAUUUUUUUAUAUCGAAUAAGUUGUUCUUGAACAACUUAUUCGAUCCAAUUUUUAAAAAUUGUAUAAGUACUUGAUAGUUGGUAUCCGAGAUUUUAGGUACAUUGCCUUUUUAUAUCACAUCUAGCUCUAGCUAACUAAAUUUACAUAUAAAAAUAUAAACGAACCAUGUAGUUUUC
RNAcentral lists this long non-coding RNA (994 nucleotides) under Ananas comosus (pineapple). RNAcentral describes it as "long non-coding RNA (ACOM_LNC000227)". The record is from RNAcentral. Lineage: Eukaryota; Viridiplantae; Streptophyta; Magnoliopsida; Poales; Bromeliaceae.